Molecule: unclassified non-coding RNA, 201 nt
Filed under: plant metagenome
Description: partial contains small subunit ribosomal RNA, internal transcribed spacer 1, and 5.8S ribosomal RNA
Source: RNAcentral
UCUCCGUUGGUGAACCAGCGGAGGGAUCAUUAUCGAGUUUAUAACACCCAAACCCUAUGUGAACUUACCACUUGUUGCUUCGGCGCGCGCUUCGGCGCCGCCGAGGACACUUAAACUCUUUGUUUUUAUAAGCAUUUCUGAGUGGCCGAAAGGCAAAAUACAAAUGAAUCAAAACUUUCAACAACGGAUCUCUUGGUUCUG